AGAGUUUGAUCCUGGCUCAGAUUGAACGCUGGCGGCAUGGCUAAAACAUGCAAGUCGAACGCGAACUCUCGAUUUAUCGGGAAAGUAGAGUGGCGUAAGGGCGAGUAACAAAUUUCUAACGUACCCCAGAGUCGGGGAUAGCCCGAGGAAACUCGGAUUAACACCCGAUGAUCCCGUCUGGUCUCGUGACCGGCCGGGCAAAAGCUUGCUGCUCUGGGAGCGGGGAAUUUCCUAUCAGGUUGUUGGUGAGGUAACGGCUCACCAAGCCUAAGACGGGUAGCGGGUGUGAGAGCACGACCCGCCGCAUCGGGACUGAGACACUGCCCGGACUCCUACGGGAGGCUGCAGUAACGAAUAUUCCGCAAUGGGCGAAAGCCUGACGGAGCAAUGCCGCGUGUGGGAUGAAUCUCCUCGGAGUGUAAACCACUGUCAGGGGCUAGAAACACAAUGAUCAGCCCCAGAGGAAGGGCCGGCUAACUUCGUGCCAGCAGCCGCGGUAAUACGAAGGGCCCGAGCGUUAAUCGGAAUCACUGGGCUUAAAGGGUGCGUAGGCGGGACUGUAAGUAUCACGUGAAAUCCCACGGCUCAACCGUGGAAUGGCUUGGUAGACUGCAGUCCUUGAGGUCGGUAGAGGAUGCUGGAACUCUAGGUGGAGCGGUGAAAUGCGUAGAUAUCUAGAGGAACACCAAAGGUGAAGACAGGCAUCUGGGCCGAUCCUGACGCUGAGGCACGAAAGCGUGGGGAGCGAACGGGAUUAGAUACCCCGGUAGUCCACGCCCUAAACGAUGUGCACUAGAUUGUGGAGGCUCUGACGCAGACACGAUCGAAGCUAAAGUGUUAAGUGCACCGCCUGGGGAGUACGGUCGCAAGGCUAAAACUCAAAGGAAUUGACGGGUCUUCACACAAGCGGUGGAGCAUGUGGCUUAAUUCGAGGCAACGCGAAGAACCUUAUCCAGGGUUUGACAUGUAUGGAUUAGUUGCGGGAAACCGUAAUGACGCCCUCGGGUGGAACAUACACAGGUGCUGCAUGGCUGUCGUCAGCUCGUGCUGUGAAGUGUAGGGUUAAGUCCCCUAACGAGCGAAACCCCUACCGCUAGUUGCCAACAGGCCUUCGGGUGCUGGGAACUCUAGCGGGACUGCCGGUGUUAAACCGGAGGAAGGUGGGGAUGACGUCAAGUCCUCAUGGCCUUUAUGCCCUGGGCUGCACACGUGCUACAAUGGCGCGUACAGAGCGAAGCGAUACCGCAAGGUGGAGCAAAUCGCAAAAAGCGCGCCUCAGUUCGGAUUGCGGUCUGCAACUCGACCGCAUGAAGCUGGAAUCGCUAGUAAUCGCGUAUCAGCUACGACGCGGUGAAUAUGUUCCUGAAGAUUGUACACACCGCCCGUCAAGUCAUGGAAGCCGGGAGCACCCGAAGCCGCCAUAUUUCAGUGGUGUCGACGGUGAGCUCGGUGACUGGGACUAAGUCGUAACAAGGUAACC
RNAcentral lists this ribosomal RNA (1480 nucleotides) under uncultured bacterium. RNAcentral describes it as "bacterial SSU rRNA". It matches the Rfam family "Bacterial small subunit ribosomal RNA". The record is from RNAcentral.